UCGCACGAGAAAGGGAGCAAUCCUGAGUAAAGUGGCGUACGGGUGAGUAACACGUGGAUUAUCUACCUUUUAGUGGGGAAUACCUCCGGGAAACUGGAGACAAUACCGCAUAAGCCUGUAAAGGGAAAGCAGCAAUGCGCUGAAAGAGGAGUCCGCGGCUGAUUAUGCUAGUUGGCGGGGUAAUGGCCCACCAAGGCGAAGAUCGGUAGCCGGCCUGAGAGGGCUCACGGCCACACUGGCACUGAAACACGGGCCAGACUCCUACGGGAGGCAGCAGUGGGGAAUCUUGCACAAUGGAGGAAACUCUGAUGCAGCGACGCCGCGUGAGCGAUGAAGCCCCUCGGGGUGUAAAGCUCUUUCGACGGGAAAGAUAAUGACGGUACCCGAAGAAGAAGCUGCGGCUAACUACGUGCCAGCAGCCGCGGUAAUACGUAGGCAGCAAGCGUUGUUCGGAAUUACUGGGCGUAAAGAGUGUGUAGGCGGUGCUCUAAGUCUGUUGUGAAAUCUCCCGGCUUAACUGGGAGGGUGCAGCGGAAACUGGUGUGCUCGAGGGUGGGAGAGGAAAGCGGAAUUCCUGGUGUAGCGGUGAAAUGCGUAGAUAUCAGGAGGAACACCUGUGGUGUAGACAGCUUUCUGGACCACUUCUGACGCUGAGACACGAAAGCGUGGGUAGCAAACAGGAUUAGAUACCCUGGUAGUCCACGCCCUAAACGAUGCAUACUUGGUGUGAGCCAUUCAUUUGGUUCGUGCC
This 751-nucleotide ribosomal RNA is filed under the name uncultured bacterium. RNAcentral's name for it is "bacterial SSU rRNA". It matches the Rfam family "Bacterial small subunit ribosomal RNA", at positions 62 to 847 of the family's 1533-position model. The record is from RNAcentral.